GCCCUUAGUUUGAUCCUGGCUCAGAACAAACGCUGGCGGCGUGCCUAACACAUGCAAGUCGUACGAGAAAGGGUCCUUCGGGACCUGAGUAAAGUGGCGCACGGGUGAGUAACGCGUGGAUAAUCUGCCCUUCAGUUGGGAACAACUCAUCGAAAGGUGGGCUAAUACCGAAUAACGCUGUGAGACUUUGGUCGAUCAGCCAAAGAUGGCCUCUGCUUGCAUGCUAUCGCUGAGGGAUGAGUCCGCGUACCAUUAGCUAGUUGGUAGGGUAAUGGCCUACCAAGGCGACGAUGGUUAGCUGGUCUGAGAGGAUGAUCAGCCACACUGGAACUGAGACACGGUCCAGACUCCUACGGGAGGCAGCAGUGAGGAAUCUUGCGCAAUGGGGGCAACCCUGACGCAGCAACGCCGCGUGAGUGAGGAAGGUCUUCGGAUCGUAAAGCUCUGUCGGAUGGAAAGAACCGC
Molecule: ribosomal RNA, 465 nt
Filed under: uncultured bacterium
Lineage: Bacteria
Description: bacterial SSU rRNA
Rfam family: Bacterial small subunit ribosomal RNA
Source: RNAcentral